This 452-nucleotide ribosomal RNA is filed under the name uncultured bacterium. RNAcentral's name for it is "bacterial SSU rRNA". It matches the Rfam family "Bacterial small subunit ribosomal RNA", at positions 328 to 794 of the family's 1533-position model. The record is from RNAcentral.
GAGCCAGACUCCUACGGGAGGCAGCAGUGGGGAAUAUUGGGCAAUGGGCGCAAGCCUGACCCAGCAACGCCGCGUGAAGGAAGAAGGCUUUCGGGUUGUAAACUUCUUUUAUCAGGGACGAAACAAAUGACGGUACCUGAUGAAUAAGCCACGGCUAACUACGUGCCAGCAGCCGCGGUAAUACGUAGGUGGCAAGCGUUAUCCGGAUUUACUGGGUGUAAAGGGCGUGUAGGCGGGCUUGCAAGUCAGAUGUGAAAACUAUGGGCUCAACCCAUAGCCUGCAUUUGAAACUGUAUUUCUUGAGUGCUGGAGAGGCAAUCGGAAUUCCGUGUGUAGCGGUGAAAUGCGUAGAUAUACGGAGGAACACCAGUGGCGAAGGCGGAUUGCUGGACAGUAACUGACGCUGAGGCGCGAAAGCGUGGGGAGCAAACAGGAUUAGAUCCCCGUGUAGG